UUUGCUUCUCGGCCUUUUGGCUAAGAUCAAGUGUAGUAUAUGUUCUUAUCAGUUUAAAAUAUUCACUUUAAAUAUUAGCACUUUAUUCAUAAUUUAUACAAAGCAAGACACGAUUGAGAUUUAGUGUUCUAUUAACAAUUUUGAAAUUACAUAAAAUUCUUUGAGUAAUGUUGAGGCAGU
Molecule: small nuclear RNA, 180 nt
Filed under: Cavia porcellus (domestic guinea pig)
Lineage: Eukaryota; Metazoa; Chordata; Mammalia; Rodentia; Caviidae
Description: U2 spliceosomal RNA (ENSCPOG00000017976.2)
Rfam family: U2 spliceosomal RNA (bases 1-114)
About the family: U2 is a small nuclear RNA (snRNA) component of the spliceosome (involved in pre-mRNA splicing). Complementary binding between U2 snRNA (in an area lying towards the 5' end but 3' to hairpin I) and the branchpoint sequence (BPS) of the intron results the bulging out of an unpaired adenosine, on the BPS, which initiates a nucleophilic attack at the intronic 5' splice site, thus starting the first of two transesterification reactions that mediate splicing.
Source: RNAcentral